GCCGAAGUGGCGGAAUUGGCAGACGCGCUAGAUUCAGGUUCUAGUGAGCAAUACGCUCAUCGGGGUUCAAGUCCCCGCUUCGGCACCA
RNAcentral lists this transfer RNA (88 nucleotides) under Bacillota bacterium. RNAcentral's name for it is "Firmicutes bacterium (anaerobic digester metagenome) tRNA-Leu". It matches the Rfam family "tRNA". Rfam says of the family: Transfer RNA (tRNA) molecules are approximately 80 nucleotides in length. Their secondary structure includes four short double-helical elements and three loops (D, anti-codon, and T loops). Further hydrogen bonds mediate the characteristic L-shaped molecular structure. tRNAs have two regions of fundamental functional importance: the anti-codon, which is responsible for specific mRNA codon recognition, and the 3' end, to which the tRNAs corresponding amino acid is attached (by aminoacyl-tRNA synthetases). tRNAs cope with the degeneracy of the genetic code in two manners: having more than one tRNA (with a specific anti-codon) for a particular amino acid; and 'wobble' base-pairing, i.e. permitting non-standard base-pairing at the 3rd anti-codon position. Lineage: Bacteria; Bacillati; Bacillota. The record is from RNAcentral.